GGUUAAUACCCUGAGUAGAUGACGGUACCCGAAUAAGAAGCACCGGCUAACUACGUGCCAGCAGCCGCGGUAAUACGUAGGGUGCGAGCGUUAAUCGGAAUUACUGGGCGUAAAGCGUGCGCAGGCGGUUUUGUAAGUCAGAUGUGAAAUCCCCGGGCUCAACCUGGGAACUGCAUUUGAGACUGCAAAGCUGGAGUUUGGCAGAGGGGGGUGGAAUUCCACGUGUAGCAGUGAAAUGCGUAGAGAUGUGGAGGAACACCGAUGGCGAAGGCAGCCCCCUGGGCCAAUACUGACGCUCAUGCACGAAAGCGUGGGGAGCAAACAGGAUUAGAUACCCUGGUAGUCCACGCCCUAAACGAUGUCAACUAGGUGUUGGGAGGGUUAAACCUUUUAGUGCCGUAGCUAAC
Molecule: ribosomal RNA, 407 nt
Filed under: uncultured bacterium
Lineage: Bacteria
Description: bacterial SSU rRNA
Rfam family: Bacterial small subunit ribosomal RNA
Source: RNAcentral